UUUUUUAUAGUGUAAAUAACACAUAACAUUUUCAUUGUUAAGAUGAUAGAAAAAUCUAAAAAAA
RNAcentral lists this transfer RNA (64 nucleotides) under Ixodes holocyclus (paralysis tick). RNAcentral describes it as "tRNA-Glu". The record is from RNAcentral. Lineage: Eukaryota; Metazoa; Arthropoda; Arachnida; Ixodida; Ixodidae.